UGACAAAAGUCUAGUCUCUGCUGCCUUC
This 28-nucleotide non-coding RNA is filed under the name Bombyx mori (domestic silkworm). Lineage: Eukaryota; Metazoa; Arthropoda; Insecta; Lepidoptera; Bombycidae. The record is from RNAcentral.